Molecule: ribosomal RNA, 409 nt
Filed under: Actinomycetes bacterium
Lineage: Bacteria; Bacillati; Actinomycetota; Actinomycetes
Description: Actinobacteria bacterium partial 16S ribosomal RNA
Rfam family: Bacterial small subunit ribosomal RNA
Source: RNAcentral
UGGGGAAUAUUGCACAAUGGGCGGAAGCCUGAUGCAGCGCCGCCGCGCGGGGGAUGAAGGCCUUCGGGUUGUAAACUCCUUUCGACAGGGACGAAGCUUUUGUGACGUUACCUGUAUAAGAAGCACCGGCUAACUACGUUCCAGCAGCCGCGGUAAUACGUACGGUGCGAGCGUUGUCCGGAAUUACUGGGCGUAAAGAGCUCGUAGGUGGUUUGUCGCGUCGUCUGUGACAUUCCGGGGCUUAACUCCGGGCGUGCAGGCGAUACGGGCUGACUUGAGUGCUGUAGGGGAGACUGGAAUUCCUGGUGUAGCGGUGAAAUGCGCAGAUAUCAGGGGAAACACCGAUGGCGAAGGCAGGUCUCUGGGCAGUAACUGACGCUGAGGAGCAAAAGCAUGGGUAGAGAACAGG